AGGCAGCAGUGACAGGUACCUGCCUGGCGCCCCAAGUUUUGCGCACGUGCCUACCCCUAGUUCCUAGCCCAACGAGUCCAAAUUGGAAAGAUGGGACACCGUCAUAGAGGGACAGUUGUUCUUUGCUCAUGCUGUCUCCCGCCGCUGGGGCAAUAGAGAACGCAGGCUGGGAGUAAACGGCAAGUGAUCCAGACAGAUCCUGCAGUGGGCGGGGCAUGUGACGAGGGCGGCACACUGCUGCCAAGCAACGAAAAGCUCUAACAUGAAGUUUGCUUUCUCCAGUGUUGAGUUCUAGAGUAACAACUUGCAGCGAUUUCUUGCCCUCAUACCCUGAGAACCAUAAUUUGUGUAAGACACAGGUUCUUAUCAUCACUUGUACAGUUCCCACACAGAGACAGCUUCCCAUAAUAGGCCAGCAAAACAAUAGCACGCCGCAGCUCCACCAAUGAGCGUGUCCCUGGGCGGAGCUUAACUUGUAUCACAGCGGCUCCAUGGUCACAUGACCCAGAUAACUGCCGUUUUUCUGUCAGUUGGGGGAGACGAUCAGCCGAUGAACAGGUGAUUUCCUCUGCGCUUUUGGACCUGACCUGAGUCACCUGACACGUCAGAAAUUGGAAAAAGGAGAUGAAAGAGAGAAGAUGACAAAGGAGAGAUUAUCCGUAGAGAAGGGAGACGUAUGACAGCAGCUCAACCAUCUGAAACCACAGUGGGGAACAUGGUACGCCGGGUGCUGAAACUGAUCCGUGAGGAGUACAGCAGUUUCCCAAUGAAGAAGAUUCCUUUCACAAGUUUGUAUCGCCACAGGAAGUUCUUCCAUUUUCAGAAGGUGAGAUCCUCUCUCAGGUCAGUGCUUAUUGCCUGAUUUUUGACCACGUACCUCCAGAACUGAUCACAUUAUUCAUCUCAAACAUUGGAGGAAAUGCACCAUCAUAAAUCUAUCGACUAAUGAGCGAGCUGUACCACCCAUCAGACCAUGAACUGUGACAAGAGCCUCUCAAAGGGACUUUAUUCUGCUUCCAGUGUCAUUAGUAUGACGUCUCUCAGCACAGUGAAUCUUACCCCACAUGCUUUUGUUAUUUACCAUUAUUAAUAAAUGCUUCAGACUGAAAGAA
Molecule: long non-coding RNA, 1112 nt
Organism: Xenopus laevis (African clawed frog)
Lineage: Eukaryota; Metazoa; Chordata; Amphibia; Anura; Pipidae
Gene: eif2b2.S
Product: eukaryotic translation initiation factor 2B subunit beta S homeolog
Exons: 4
Source: RefSeq, a predicted model, not a curated record